AAUGAACGCUAGCGGCGUGUUUAAGACAUGCAAGUUGAACGGAAAGUUUCUAGUUUACUAGGGACUUUUAGUGGCGGACGGGUGAGUAACACGUGAGCAACCUACCUAUAAGUGGAGGAUAGUCCUGGGAAACUGGGUUUAAUACUCCAUGUGCAUAUAUGUAAAGAUGCCCUCGGGUGUCGCUUAUAGAUGGGCUCGCGAUCUAUCAGCUAGUUGGUGAGGUAAUAGCUCACCAAGGCGACGACGGAUAGCUGGUCUUAGAGGAUGAUCAGUCACACUGGAACUGAGACACGGUCCAGACACCUACGGGUGGCAGCAGUCGAGAAUAAUUCACAAUGGACGAAAGUCUGAUGGUGCAACGCCGCGUGGAGGAUGACGGUUUUCGGAUUGUAAACUCCUGUCAUUGUAGAGUAAGACUUAUGCUUUAAUAGAGUGUAAGUUUGAGAGUAUACAAAGAGGAAGGGACGGCUAACUUCG
This 477-nucleotide ribosomal RNA is filed under the name uncultured Verrucomicrobiaceae bacterium. RNAcentral describes it as "bacterial SSU rRNA". It matches the Rfam family "Bacterial small subunit ribosomal RNA", at positions 29 to 505 of the family's 1533-position model. Lineage: Bacteria; Pseudomonadati; Verrucomicrobiota; Verrucomicrobiia; Verrucomicrobiales; Verrucomicrobiaceae. The record is from RNAcentral.